GCAUAUCAAUAAGCGGAGGAAAAGAAACCAACCGGGAUUGCCCUAGUAACGGCGAGUGAAGCGGCAACAGCUCAAAUUUGAAAUCUGGCUCUUUUAGAGUCCGAGUUGUAAUUUGCAGAGGGCGCUUUGGCUUUGGCAGCGGUCCAAGUUCCUUGGAACAGGACGUCACAGAGGGUGAGAAUCCCGUACGUGGUCGCUGGCUAUUGCCGUGUAAAGCCCCUUCGACGAGUCGAGUUGUUUGGGAAUGCAGCUCUAAAUGGGUGGUAAAUUCCAUCUAAGGCUAAAUACUGGCGAGAGACCGAUAGCGAACAAGUACUGUGAAGGAAAGAUGAAAAGCACUUUGAAAAGAGAGUGAAACAGCACGUGAAAUUGUUGAAAGGGAAGGGUAUUGCGCCCGACAUGGAGCGUGCGCACCGCUGCCCCUCGUGGGCGGCGCUCUGGGCGUGCUCUGGGCCAGCAUCGGUUUUUGCCGCGGGAGAAGGGCGGCGGGCAUGUAGCUCUUCGGAGUGUUAUAGCCUGCCGCCGGCGCCGCGAGCGGGGACCGAGGACUGCGACUUUUGUCUCGGAUGCUGGCACAACGGCGCAACACCGCCCGUCUUGAAACACGGACC
Molecule: ribosomal RNA, 611 nt
Filed under: uncultured fungus
Lineage: Eukaryota; Fungi
Description: LSU rRNA
Rfam family: Eukaryotic large subunit ribosomal RNA
Source: RNAcentral